Molecule: ribosomal RNA, 226 nt
Filed under: uncultured fungus
Lineage: Eukaryota; Fungi
Description: partial small subunit ribosomal RNA
Rfam family: Eukaryotic small subunit ribosomal RNA (bases 94-226)
Source: RNAcentral
GGUUUAGUGUUGUUGGCCCACUGGCACUCGCCGGUUGGUGCCGAUCUACGCUUACCAUCUUUCUAGAGAACAAGCAUGCCCUUCACUGGCGCGUACUUGCGAUCUAGAUCUUUUACUUUGAAAAAAUUAGAGUGUUUAAAGCAGGCAGUUUGCUAUGAAUACAUUAGCAUGGAAUAAUAAUUUAGGACUUCGUUGUCUUAUUUUGUUGGUUUCUAGGACCGAAGUA